UUGCAAUAGGGGUUGGGUGUCUCUGAUGCAUUAUAUUAUUAGCUGAACCUUUCCUUUCUAUAAUGUCAACUGUUAAUUGAGAAUUUUAUAUAUUAAUGUAAAAUAAUAAAAAAAAAUUAUUUGAGAAUAGAUAAAAAUUAUUACAUUCUAUUUUUAAAUAAAGAUCAAGCAUUCAUGGUAGACUUCAUGGUGAUGAAGACUAGACUACCAGGC
This 213-nucleotide long non-coding RNA is filed under the name Elaeis guineensis (African oil palm). RNAcentral describes it as "long non-coding RNA (EGUI_LNC046669)". Lineage: Eukaryota; Viridiplantae; Streptophyta; Magnoliopsida; Arecales; Arecaceae. The record is from RNAcentral.